CUGAGUCUCUAUGUGUCAUUUCGU
RNAcentral lists this small nuclear RNA (24 nucleotides) under Arabidopsis thaliana (thale cress). Its description in RNAcentral is "snRNA_00402". Lineage: Eukaryota; Viridiplantae; Streptophyta; Magnoliopsida; Brassicales; Brassicaceae. The record is from RNAcentral.